Non-coding RNA from Pseudonaja textilis, 376 nucleotides. NCBI's taxonomy places the organism in Eukaryota, Metazoa, Chordata, Lepidosauria, Squamata, Elapidae. The record is from RefSeq and is a predicted model, not a curated record.
UGUAGAGAGGUAUAUAAAUCCAACCCUCCUCUUAGCCGUGGUUCUGUGAAUCCUAGGUAAGAAAUUGCAAACAGGUAGGUUUGUAUUCUUUUUUUUAAUUGUUCCUAGUACAGUAACCGGAAAGCACAGUUAAACUGAACAAGGUUAGCACUGAAAUCAAUCAUCUUUCAGUGUAAUUUAUCCCUUCACCCCACCACCUAAUCGUUGUCUAUCUCUGCCCUGCACUUGUGUCCCAAUUACCCUAUUAACACUAUAAUUCUAUGGUCUACAUCACAUACUAAGCCACGAUUCCCAACUACCCCUUACUCCUCCCAUUCCUGCAGUUGCUCUCUUGAUUUAUUUACCCACCCUGCCAAAAGCUGUCUUUAUGAAUUUA